UUCCUGACACGGGCUGCCCUCGGGAGCUCCUCAGGAAGGUUUUUAAAGGAAUAUUUAUGGAUGAUCCUGGUGAAUCAGGCCCUAAAAGAGCUGAGAGCCUGGACAGCAUGGCUGGGUUUGUUCCUGCCUCGGCAGCAGCAGGAACAUCCCAGCUCCAAGGCUGGAGGAUGGGUGAGGAAAGGGUCAGGACACAUCCCCUGACUGCGAGCUGAAGAAAAAUGUUGGCAGAGCAAAGCUUGCCACAGGAAGAAAAGGUUGUCCUGGCUGUUCAUAUUCCUCCACAUGGGGUCCCGUCGGCUUUUUCCCGGCGAAAACUCGAUUCCCCGUGCCAGCAGCACAUUAAGACAUCGCAGCUUCAGCUCUCCCUGCUUCAGAAUUCCCUUUUUUUUUGGUUUUUUUUGAGGUCGAGUCCUGGCUGAGGCUGUGUGGAGCUCUGGUACC
This is a long non-coding RNA of Zonotrichia leucophrys gambelii, 441 nucleotides long. RefSeq lists it as uncharacterized. The transcript is spliced from 3 exons. The record is from RefSeq and is a predicted model, not a curated record. NCBI's taxonomy places the organism in Eukaryota, Metazoa, Chordata, Aves, Passeriformes, Passerellidae.